GGCAAUAACAGGUCUGUGAUGCCCUUAGAUGUUCCGGGCUGCACACGUGAUACAUUGAUUACUUCAGUGAGUAUCUACGUAUUACUGCGCAGCAGUAUACGCGUGUUGUUUAUUGCUUCGGCAAUUUACUUUGCGCUAUACGCCGCCUUAACCUACUUCGAAAGUAUGUGGGUAACCAAUUAGAAGUAGUGAUUUCCCUCUUUAUAAGCACACUUAUAUGGAGCAUCAUCACCCGGCAUGCCUUGUGCAUGUUUUGUGUGUGUUGUUUGUCUACAUGUGCUUUUGUCAAUUCAUAGUGGGGACAGACCAUUGUUAAUUGUUGGUCUCGGUCUUAACUAGGAAUGCCUUGUACGAGUUUUUGGUUCAACAAACCACUCGGAAUACGUCCCUGCCCUUUGUACACACCGCCCGUCGCUCUUACCGAUGGAUUAUAUUAUGAGUUGGCAGGACCGUCCAGGAAAUGC
This 464-nucleotide ribosomal RNA is filed under the name Elphidium sp. S5. RNAcentral describes it as "partial small subunit ribosomal RNA". It matches the Rfam family "Eukaryotic small subunit ribosomal RNA", at positions 1449 to 1729 of the family's 1831-position model. Lineage: Eukaryota; Foraminifera; Rotaliida; Elphidiidae. The record is from RNAcentral.